GACGAACGCUGGCGGCGUGCCUAAUACAUGCAAGUCGAGCGAAGUUUUUCUGGUGCUUGCACCGGAAAAACUUAGCGGCGAACGGGUGAGUAACACGUAAAGAACCUGCCUCAUAGACUGGGACAACUAUUGGAAACGAUAGCUAAUACCGGAUAACAGCAUUACCUGCAUGGUUGAUGUUUAAAAGUUGGUUUUGCUAACACUAUGAGAUGGCUUUGCGGUGCAUUAGCUAGUUGGUGGGGUAAAGGCCUACCAAGGCGACGAUGCAUAGCCGACCUGAGAGGGUGAUCGGCCACACUGGGACUGAGACACGGCCCAGACUCCUACGGGAGGCAGCAGUAGGGAAUCUUCCGCAAUGGGCGAAAGCCUGACGGAGCAACGCCGCGUGAGUGAAGAAGGAUUUCGGUUCGUAAAGCUCUGUUGUUAGGGAAGAAUGAUUGUGUAGUAACUAUACACAGUAGAGACGGUACCUAACCAGAAAGCCACGGCUAACUACGUG
RNAcentral lists this ribosomal RNA (499 nucleotides) under uncultured bacterium. RNAcentral describes it as "partial 16S ribosomal RNA". It matches the Rfam family "Bacterial small subunit ribosomal RNA", at positions 28 to 507 of the family's 1533-position model. The record is from RNAcentral.